AAUGAUGAGAUAAGAGUAAUGGCAGGGAUAUGAAAAGUAAGUUUACAAAAACUGGGAUGAAUACAGUGGUGUUUUAGAUAUGGCAGCAGUAUUAGAUCCAAGGAUUAAACCGCAAAUGCUUAAGGAAGUUUAAAAUAAGCUGGAUCCUAGAACUUUGGUAUACCAUGGAUUUUACCAGUUUUUAGGCACGGUAUAUAGUUGUUUUAGAGUCUAUUUAUUAUGUUUUAGAGUCUUUUUACAGUCUUUACAAGUCUAUGUAUGUUUUAGAGCAAUGUGGUGAUUAUGGAGUAUUUUGGAGCUAAAGAUAUUAGAAACUCUUAGCUGUUCAGAAACAACCCAUAGUCGACAUUCGGAUAGAGUGUCGAUCGACAAACAUCUCUUGUUGUCUAUCGAUGGUGACGCGCGUAGACAUUGAUAUAUUUACUGCUUAUUAAUCUACUGUCUAGCUUAAUCAUUGACUAUUUUGAGUUUAUUGUGUGUCUUCGCUAUUUGUAGAUUCGAUCCCAAAUAUUACAAUUAAACCUCUACUAUCAAAUAUCAUGGAUUUAACAUAAUAAAUAGACUCUAAAACAACUAUAUACCAUGA
RNAcentral lists this long non-coding RNA (586 nucleotides) under Brassica napus (rape). RNAcentral describes it as "long non-coding RNA (BNAP_LNC013969)". The record is from RNAcentral. Lineage: Eukaryota; Viridiplantae; Streptophyta; Magnoliopsida; Brassicales; Brassicaceae.